Molecule: ribosomal RNA, 254 nt
Filed under: uncultured bacterium
Lineage: Bacteria
Description: partial 16S ribosomal RNA
Rfam family: Bacterial small subunit ribosomal RNA
Source: RNAcentral
UACGGGGGGGGCAAGCGUUGUUCGGAAUUACUGGGCGUAAAGGGCUCGUAGGCGGCCAACUAAGUCGGAUGUGAAAUCCCCAAGCUUAACUUGGGAACUGCAUCCGAUACUGGAUGGCUUGAAUCCGGGAGAGGGAUGCAGAAUUCCAGGUGUAGCGGUGAAAUGCGUAGAUAUCUGGAGGAAUACCGGUGGCGAAGGCGGCAUCCUGGACCGGCAUUGACGCUGAGGAGCGAAAGCUAGGGGAGCAAACGGGG